AAAAUGUUGAAAUUGGACACUAUUUAAGAGUACAUUCUUAACCUUUAUAACCCUCCUUUACAAUUGUUUCUAAUUCGAAAUGUAGAACCAGUCAGACCACACCCGAUUGUUUUAGUCUUAAAUAGAUAUCGCAUGUAAUUUCAACACUUCCAGGAAUCCGAAGCAUCGCUAUUUAAAAGGGAUAGGCACGGAGGGAUGUAGUGGCACAUUGGAUGUAGGAAAAGCGGGCGUAUCUUUUCCCGGCUGCAGAAGGUAGAGGUUAAAAAGCUGUGGGAACGGGUCAGAGGAAAGAGGGGGGCGGGAGGAAUGGGAAAGGGUACAGUAGAAAGGCAGGCAGGGUGUUUUCUUAACGUAAAGGAAGAGUUAAAUCAGAAGUUAAUAGCUUAUUGUGAGUUAUUAAAACGAUAGCCUACACCGCCGAGAUCUGGGAAACCGAAAGUUAUCUAAUUAUAUAAGACAUAAACAAGAGAAGGAGACCUCGAUGUCGGGAAUAGGACACGGUCUGGAAUAGCACGUUCAUGGCAAGAAAUCUGAGCGCACUCGUUCUACAGUCAGACAGAGGUGAAGGAUGGAGGGAGAUACAGAGAAAGAGACAGCAGAGGAGAAGGAAGGUGAUGAUACAGAGCUGUCUGGUGAGGAAGGGGUGGGGCGACUUCAUCAGAGCGGAAGGUCCUCGGAUGAAGACCAGGACCUACCCAUCAUGCAGUGGGAGGACCUGAGCCUGCGUAUCGCCGAGCUAGAGAAACAGGAGGAGGAGAGGAGGGAGAGGGCAAAGAGUACGAGUGGGUCGGAACAGGGGAG
Molecule: long non-coding RNA, 801 nt
Filed under: Salmo salar (Atlantic salmon)
Lineage: Eukaryota; Metazoa; Chordata; Actinopteri; Salmoniformes; Salmonidae
Description: lncRNA (ENSSSAG00000053610.2)
Source: RNAcentral